Long non-coding RNA from Brachypodium distachyon (stiff brome), 1355 nucleotides. RefSeq lists it as uncharacterized. The record is from RefSeq and is a predicted model, not a curated record. The transcript is spliced from 2 exons. NCBI's taxonomy places the organism in Eukaryota, Viridiplantae, Streptophyta, Magnoliopsida, Poales, Poaceae.
ACUACAGGGGGGAGGCAAAGCAGAAAGAGAGGGUCGAGCGAAAGCUACGGCCGGGGGCGGGUGGCCGUCGUGAACUCGUUUUGUUUGGCCCUGUCCUUUGGUUGCCGCCAAGGGCCGAGGUCGCUCCGGCAUCCAAGGCGUCUUUUCUUGGUCCUCCAACAUCCCCGGCAAAACCAACCCCGGCUCCAGCGAGUAUGCCUGGCCCUUCGACCUGAUUCAUUCGUACAUUCUUCUCACGUAUCUGGCCAAGGUACAACUAGCUAGAUAUACAAAGAGAUGGAGCUUUUCCUUUCGGCCGGGCUAUUUCUUCUGUGAUACUGGUACAAGUGGAGGAUUUUGUUAAUUCAGAUGCCUUUAUAGCUGGUUUGGAGUAGUGGGCCUGUCCUGCCUGUGCGUGGUGUGGUUCUUGUUGGUGGUGGUCAAGCAAAUGCGGCGUGACGUGCGCCGUCGGGCAAUGGAAAAUGGGAUUUAUAUAUGGGAGGUUUCCAGGCCCGUCAGGUAGGCGAUGAUACAUCGAUCAAUCACAUCCCCGCCUGACUGCGCCGCAGAGGCGUGUCCGUGGCAAAUGGACCACGCGAGCCGCACAAGAACUGGAUUCGGUUUGACCACAGUACGUGUCGUGGGCAGACUUGGGACUUGAUAUUCCUUUUUCUCGAGGGGGGCUCGUGACUUCGUGGGCUCUGCAUUCAUUUCCGGCCUGGCACAAGGCAAGGCCCAGCUGGGUCACAGCGUCGACGAAUUGUAUGCUCGGACGAGUAAUUGAGCCCGUGCAAAUUUCAUGGUCAUACAAAGGUGUACAUUUAGUCUACCUUGGAUAUGUACAUUUGUUUGGGCGUGGUAUUUCUCAGUUGCGUGAUUUUUAAAAAAAAUGUCUUAAAUCGAAGUUGAUGAAUUAGAACCGUUGGAUUAAGAUCUGAGGGUCAUCCUUACUCUUCCACGUCAACUGCUCUCUAACAAAUCAGUCAACUUUUCAAUAGCAAAACCGUAUUUGUUUUUUUUUCAAAGAAAAUUGUUGCUUUUGUAUUUUACUGAACUUUAAAUUUAUUGUAUCUGUCUUUGAAUAAUUCCUUCAUCCUGUGGGUGAAUCAUGUAAAAAGAGGGGUAGGUGAUGUGAAUGGUUAGAUUUGUAUCUUCAGGUUAAGAAAAGUAACCAACUUACAAAAAUUCAAGUGCUAUCCAUCUGCUCCUGCUAGUGUACCUGAGAUAUGAAACAUUUUGACAUGAGUGAUCAAGCUCUGAUCUUCCUUUUUACUGCACCUCCAGAAGAGGCUUCCUUUAUAUAUAUUGCAACCAAAACAAUUACAGGUUUAUCUCAUGAAACGUGUUCCUCAACACCAAUGACUGAGCCUCUACGG